RNAcentral lists this ribosomal RNA (453 nucleotides) under uncultured bacterium. Its description in RNAcentral is "bacterial SSU rRNA". It matches the Rfam family "Bacterial small subunit ribosomal RNA", at positions 96 to 564 of the family's 1533-position model. The record is from RNAcentral.
CGGCGGACGGGUGAGUAACGCGUGGGUAAUCUACCUCGUAGUUCGGGAUAACAGGUCGAAAGGCUUGCUAAUACCGGAUGAGUUCAUGCUUAUGCAUAUAGGCAUGAAGAAAGGGCUAGCCCGCUAUGAGAUGAGCCCGCGUCCCAUUAGCUUGUUGGUGGGGUAAUGGCCUACCAAGGCAACGAUGGGUAGCCGGCCUGAGAGGGUGUACGGCCACACUGGGACUGAGACACGGCCCAGACUCCUACGGGGGGCAGCAGUAGGGAAUUUUCGGCAAUGGGCGAAAGCCUGACCGAGCGACGCCGCGUGAGGGACGAAGGCCUUCGGGUUGUAAACCUCUGUCUGGGGGGAUGAGAACGGACGGUACCCCCGGAGGAAGCCCCGGCUAACUACGUGCCAGCAGCCGCGGUAAUACGUAGGGGGCUAGCGUUGUCCGGAAUUACUGGGCGUAAA